CUUGGUCAUUUAGAGGAAGUAAAAGUCGUAACAAGGUUUCCGUAGGUGAACCUGCGGAAGGAUCAUUACCUAGAGUUGUAGGCUUUGCCUGCUAUCUCUUACCCAUGUCUUUUGAGUACCUUCGUUUCCUCGGCGGGUUCGCCCGCCGAUUGGACAAUUUAAACCAUUUGCAGUUGCAAUCAGCGUCUGAAAAAACUUAAUAGUUACAACUUUCAACAACGGAUCUCUUGGUUCUGGCAUCGAUGAAGAACGCAGCGAAAUGCGAUAAGUAGUGUGAAUUGCAGAAUUCAGUGAAUCAUCGAAUCUUUGAACGCACAUUGCGCCCCUUGGUAUUCCAUGGGGCAUGCCUGUUCGAGCGUCAUUUGUACCUUCAAGCUCUGCUUGGUGUUGGGUGUUUGUCUCGCCUCUGCGCGUAGACUCGCCUCAAAACAAUUGGCAGCCGGCGUAUUGAUUUCGGAGCGCAGUACAUCUCGCGCUUUGCACUCAUAACGACGACGUCCAAAAGUACAUUUUUACACUCUUGACCUCGGAUCAGGUAGGGAUACCCGCUGAACUUAAGCAUAUCA
This 566-nucleotide ribosomal RNA is filed under the name uncultured fungus. Its description in RNAcentral is "eukaryotic LSU rRNA". The stretch from base 208 to 361 matches the Rfam family "5.8S ribosomal RNA". The record is from RNAcentral. Lineage: Eukaryota; Fungi.